RNAcentral lists this ribosomal RNA (427 nucleotides) under uncultured bacterium. RNAcentral's name for it is "partial 16S ribosomal RNA". It matches the Rfam family "Bacterial small subunit ribosomal RNA", at positions 354 to 796 of the family's 1533-position model. The record is from RNAcentral.
GUGGGGAAUAUUGGUCAAUGGGGGAAACCCUGAACCAGCAACGCCGCGUGAAGGAAGAAGGCUUUCGGGUUGUAAACUUCUUUUAUGAGGGACGAAGAAGUGACGGUACCUCAUGAAUAAGCCACGGCUAACUACGUGCCAGCAGCCGCGGUAAUACGUAGGUGGCAAGCGUUGUCCGGAUUUACUGGGUGUAAAGGGCGCGUAGGCGGGAUAGCAAGUCAGGUGUGAAAUCCGGGGGCUUAACCCUCGAACUGCACUUGAAACUGUUAUUCUUGAGUGAUGGAGAGGCAAGCGGAAUUCCUAGUGUAGCGGUGAAAUGCGUAGAUAUUAGGAGGAACACCAGUGGCGAAGGCGGCUUGCUGGACAUUAACUGACGCUGAGGCGCGAAAGCGUGGGGAGCAAACAGGAUUAGAAACCCUAGUAGUCC